UUCCCUACGGGGGGCAGCAGUGGGGGAUAUUGCACAAUGGGGGGAACCCUGAUGCAGCGACGCCGCGUGGGUGAAGGAGUGCUUCGGCAUGUAAAGCCCUAUCGGCAGGGAAGAAGCAAGACGGUACCUGACUAAGAAGCCCCGGCUAACUACGUGCCAGCAGCCGCGGUAAUACGUAGGGGGCGAGCGUUGUCCGGAAUUACUGGGUGUAAAGGGAGCGUAGGCGGGGAUGCAAGUUGGGGGUCAAAACUACCGGCUCAACUGGUAGUUGCACUCAAAACUGCAGCUCUUGAGUGAAGUAGAGG
Molecule: ribosomal RNA, 305 nt
Filed under: uncultured bacterium
Lineage: Bacteria
Description: partial 16S ribosomal RNA
Rfam family: Bacterial small subunit ribosomal RNA
Source: RNAcentral